UAAACUUUCCAAGUCCACCGCCAACACAACCCUGUGAUAGGCACUUGCGUUGUGUUGUCCUUCAAGCCUUCAACCCCAUUGCAUUGUGACUUGUCAAUUCUAACGGCGUUGUCUCUGGGUCUUUGUUUUGUGUUGCCAAACCAGAAGAGGUGAAGGCACCUGCUGAGGUUCCGUCGGUGGAAGACACAGCUGCCCUUCCCAGCAAGGCCCUUCCCCCGAAUCUGGAGAAGAAGACCAAGCCUUCGGCCAGCGCCGGGGCCAAACCUGCCGCAGUGAAAGCCAAGCCCAGGACGGUGGGUGCUCCCCCCACCAAGCGGCCGGCUUCAGCCACGGUGGGCCCAAGCAGAAAGGCCACCUCUGCGGCAGAGACCACAUCCAAACGCCCAUCAACUGGUGUCGCGCGAUGCUCCAGCUUAACUGCCCGAGAGGUUAAACCGAAGGCGACCGACGUUAAGAACCCAGAGAAGAAGGUCCCCCUUUCCAAGCCAAGUGCAAAGACCACCUUGGCCGCUGCCAGGUCGCCCAGCCCGAGGACUGCGGCUGGCUUGCCACCGAAGAAGUCCCUCCGUGAGUCACCCCGGGGAGGCUGGGAAAUUCUGAGGAGGGGGGGGGCCUUCUGUGGGUGAGGGGAUGGGAGGUGGGGCCGUCUCGGUGGGGCAUCGGAGGUUGAGGGAACUGC
This 679-nucleotide long non-coding RNA is filed under the name Naja naja (Indian cobra). RNAcentral's name for it is "lncRNA (ENSNNAG00000008249.1)". The record is from RNAcentral. Lineage: Eukaryota; Metazoa; Chordata; Lepidosauria; Squamata; Elapidae.